RNAcentral lists this unclassified non-coding RNA (395 nucleotides) under soil metagenome. RNAcentral's name for it is "partial contains 5.8S ribosomal RNA, internal transcribed spacer 2, and large subunit ribosomal RNA". The stretch from base 1 to 120 matches the Rfam family "5.8S ribosomal RNA", at positions 35 to 154 of the family's 154-position model. The record is from RNAcentral.
GAUGAAGAACGCAGCGAAAUGCGAUAAGUAAUGUGAAUUGCAGAAUUCAGUGAAUCAUCGAAUCUUUGAACGCAUCUUGCGCUCCUUGGUAUUCCGAGGAGCAUGCCUGUUUGAGUGUCAUUUUAACUUCUCGACCAUAUCGAAUUGUUUUUCGAGGUGGCUUGGACAUGGGGGUUUUUGCAGGCUUUAAUAAUGAAGUCGGCUCCUCUGAAAUGCAUUAGUGGUAUCUGAAGCAGAACUGCUACUAUUAGGUGUGAUAAUUAUCUAUGCCUCUUGGUAUACUGCAUGAACAGAUUGCGCUGCUUCCAACUUGUACACCCUUUGGUGUUUGACAAAUUUGACCUCAAAUCAGGUAGGACUACCCGCUGAACUUAAGCAUAUCAAUAAGCGGAGGA